AACCUACGGGAGGCAGCAGUGGGAAUUUGGACAAUGGGGGCAACCCUGAUCCAGCCAUGCCGCGUGUCUGAAGAAGGCCUUCGGGUUGUAAAGGACUUUUGUCCGGGAAGUAAAAGCGCGAUGUUAAUACCAUUGCGUAGCUGACGGUACCGGAAGAAUAAGCACCGGCUAACUACGUGCCAGCAGCCGCGGUAAUGGUU
Molecule: ribosomal RNA, 200 nt
Filed under: uncultured bacterium
Lineage: Bacteria
Description: partial 16S ribosomal RNA
Rfam family: Bacterial small subunit ribosomal RNA
Source: RNAcentral